UUUUGCUUCUCUACUGCUUCACAUCAAGUACAUCGUCUUGGAUAUGGGGCUCGGUGGAUUUUUAAGGUAUUUAUAGUCUAGAGGGCGCGUGGCAAAAAUUGGAAGGAGAGGGAAUGAAGGAAUCCCCCAGGUCGAUCGGCUUGGGAGGGUCCAAGUCGAUCGGCCUGGGCCUUCAUUUUGGCCCCUUGCAUCCUGCUUCAUCUCCAAGUCUCCCUCGAUGCUCAGGAGUCUUAUUUUCACUCUCAUGUGGGCCUAGCAUGUCGGUAUCUUCGAGAUAAGAUUGAU
This 285-nucleotide long non-coding RNA is filed under the name Setaria viridis. Its description in RNAcentral is "long non-coding RNA (SVIR_LNC009016)". Lineage: Eukaryota; Viridiplantae; Streptophyta; Magnoliopsida; Poales; Poaceae. The record is from RNAcentral.